AGGGUGUAAACGCUGCAGACUUGGUGUUGGAAGUCCUUUGGGGGCAUUCAGUGCCGGAGAGAAGUUGUUAAGUCUGCUACUUGGGAGUACGUCCGCAAGGAUGAAACUUAAAGGAAUUGGCGGGGGAGCACCGCAACGGGAGGAGCGUGCGGUUUAAUUGGAUUCAACACCGUAAAACUCACCAGGGAAGACUGUUACAUGAAGGCCGAGAUGAAGACUCUGCUAGAUUUUCAGAGAGGUGGUGCAUGGCGUAGACGUCU
Molecule: ribosomal RNA, 260 nt
Filed under: uncultured archaeon
Lineage: Archaea
Description: partial 16S ribosomal RNA
Rfam family: Archaeal small subunit ribosomal RNA
Source: RNAcentral